Molecule: ribosomal RNA, 451 nt
Filed under: Streptococcus mitis
Lineage: Bacteria; Bacillati; Bacillota; Bacilli; Lactobacillales; Streptococcaceae
Description: bacterial SSU rRNA
Rfam family: Bacterial small subunit ribosomal RNA
Source: RNAcentral
GACGAACGCUGGCGGCGUGCCUAAUACAUGCAAGUAGAACGCUGAAGGAGGAGCUUGCUCUUCUGGAUGAGUUGCGAACGGGUGAGUAACGCGUAGGUAACCUGCCUGGUAGCGGGGGAUAACUAUGGGAAACGAUAGCUAAUACCGCAUAAGAGUAGAUGUUGCAUGACAUUUGCUUAAAAGGUGCAAUUGCAUCACUACCAGAUGGACCUGCGUUGUAUUAGCUAGUUGGUGAGGUAACGGCUCACCAAGGCAACGAUACAUAGCCGACCUGAGAGGGUGAUCGGCCACACUGGGACUGAGACACGGCCCAGACUCCUACGGGAGGCAGCAGUAGGGAAUCUUCGGCAAUGGACGGAAGUCUGACCGAGCAACGCCGCGUGAGUGAAGAAGGUUUUCGGAUCGUAAAGCUCUGUUGUAAGAGAAGAACGAGUGUGAGAGUGGAAAGUUC